UUGACUGUGCUAAGGUAGCAUAAUAAAUUGGCUUUUAAUUGAAGUCGGGAAUGAAAGGGUGUUUGGAGUUAUUCUGUCUUAUUUUUAUUUUUUAAAAAUUACUAAUGAGGUGAAAAUUCCUCAAUAUUUUAUGAUAGACGAGAAGACCCUAAGAAUUAUUACAACUAUUUUAAAUUGAAUUAAUAAAAGUUUUUGUUGGGGCAACAGCUUUGAAUAACCAAAGUUAAAAUUUACUAUAAAAAGAUUAUAUUAAAAACGGAUUUAAUUACCUUAGGGAUAACAGCAUAAUUAAAUUUUAGAUUGUGACCUCGAUGUUGGAUUAAGGCCU
This 328-nucleotide ribosomal RNA is filed under the name Pyramidula pusilla. RNAcentral's name for it is "partial 16S ribosomal RNA". Lineage: Eukaryota; Metazoa; Mollusca; Gastropoda; Stylommatophora; Pyramidulidae. The record is from RNAcentral.